GAGCACAUGAUUGCAUGGGGUUCUUUCAGUGAGGGUCUGGACUGAGGGAACACACGGUGCGUGAGGUCUUCACCAAAACCUUGCUGGGCAGAAAAAGAAAGACUUGCAUGGAGAUAGGUGGAAGAGUGAUCAUCUGUUGAACAAAGAUUGAAAGUGCUGAGUAGCUGUCUCCUCCCCUGAGCAACACAGCCUGGACACCCCAAGAGAGGAUGUUGAAGCCUUUACAGCAGAAGCUGUAGUAUAUUUUGAAAAGCAAUUUGGUUUCUGAAAGAAAAGAUUUAGUCACAUUGAGGAGUUGAGAAAGGUCAGUAUGAGAAUAAGAAAAAAGUGCUUAGGCAUUACUUCUUUUCUUUUUUCAAUGUAGUUAUUCCAUUACCACAGUUA
Molecule: long non-coding RNA, 384 nt
Filed under: Phasianus colchicus (ring-necked pheasant)
Lineage: Eukaryota; Metazoa; Chordata; Aves; Galliformes; Phasianidae
Description: lncRNA (ENSPCLG00000004293.1)
Source: RNAcentral